Long non-coding RNA from Megalops cyprinoides (Indo-Pacific tarpon), 139 nucleotides. RefSeq lists it as uncharacterized. The transcript is spliced from 3 exons. The record is from RefSeq and is a predicted model, not a curated record. Lineage: Eukaryota; Metazoa; Chordata; Actinopteri; Elopiformes; Megalopidae.
CACUUGUAAAGGUGACUCAGGGGGCUCUCUGUUCCUUCGCAAGAGACAGCGCUAUUUUCAUGUGGCUGUAGUAAGCUGGGGCAACAGGGACGUGUGCUCCAAACCAUCAAAGACACCUGAAUACUCACAGGACAAACCA